GGAGCAGGUGAUGGCCGAAUGGUUACGCAGUCCGCUUUGUAAGCGGAUGAUUCUGGGUUCGAUUCCCAUCUGCUCCA
RNAcentral lists this transfer RNA (77 nucleotides) under Culex quinquefasciatus (southern house mosquito). RNAcentral's name for it is "tRNA-Thr". It matches the Rfam family "tRNA". From Rfam's summary of the family: Transfer RNA (tRNA) molecules are approximately 80 nucleotides in length. Their secondary structure includes four short double-helical elements and three loops (D, anti-codon, and T loops). Further hydrogen bonds mediate the characteristic L-shaped molecular structure. tRNAs have two regions of fundamental functional importance: the anti-codon, which is responsible for specific mRNA codon recognition, and the 3' end, to which the tRNAs corresponding amino acid is attached (by aminoacyl-tRNA synthetases). tRNAs cope with the degeneracy of the genetic code in two manners: having more than one tRNA (with a specific anti-codon) for a particular amino acid; and 'wobble' base-pairing, i.e. permitting non-standard base-pairing at the 3rd anti-codon position. The record is from RNAcentral. Lineage: Eukaryota; Metazoa; Arthropoda; Insecta; Diptera; Culicidae.